This 253-nucleotide ribosomal RNA is filed under the name uncultured bacterium. RNAcentral describes it as "partial 16S ribosomal RNA". It matches the Rfam family "Bacterial small subunit ribosomal RNA", at positions 524 to 776 of the family's 1533-position model. The record is from RNAcentral.
UACAGAGGGUGCGAGCGUUAAUCGGAAUUACUGGGCGUAAAGCGUGCGUAGACGGUUAUUUAAGUCGGGUGUGAAAGCCCCGGGCUCAACCUGGGAAUGGCAGUGGAUACUGGACAGCUAGAGUGCGGUAGAGGGUAGUGGAAUUCCCGGUGUAGCAGUGAAAUGCGUAGAGAUCGGGAGGAACACCAGUGGCGAAGGCGGCUACCUGGACCAGCACUGACACUGAAGCACGAAAGCGUGGGGAGCAAACAGG